AGCUGCACCUUUUGUUCUAAGUUCUUAUAGGUUCGCUGGAGUAAUUCCUUGGUGCCAAGGACACCAUACCACAUCAUAUUCUUCGUCCGGCUUCUGAAUGAAACACAGUGAGAAAACAGUGGCACAAUGCAGAUCAUUAAGACUGGUAUAGAGAUAACACUUCUUACAGAGAGUCUGGAUCAGGGUCAAUGAAUGGGGUGGCUCCAAAAGGAUCGAUGUUCGCUAGUAACAUUUUGCUGAUGAUUGAGCUUCCAGCGAUGGAGGCAGCAAGUCCAGCUCGUAAACCUGAGGCUGUUUGCCCGAAGCAUAAGUUGCUCCCUGGAUUUGAAGAACUUUGGGGUGGAAGACCGUGCUGGGAUGCUUUCCACCGGCUGCUCAGAUAAGGAUUCUUCACUGAACUCUUCUUCUUCACCUUCCUCCUCUUCGAUGGGUGGCGUUGAGCAGUGGUGGCUUGUCGUGGCUUGUGAUUCAUCACUGAGGGUCUGCAGCAGCGAGUCCAGCUUCUCGUUCAGUACCAGACACUGGAAUGAGAAUGUGUAAACUGUCAGUUACCGACUCCGUGUCGUAAUUUUAGCGCUGCAUGUAGCACACCGCUACACAUUGACCUUUGUUGAGGUGCAGCGUAUUACUCCACAUUUGCGCUUUACUCUUUGUUCGGCUCGACCUAUUUGUGUGAACAGGCGUUCAGCGUCAUGAACAUCAACAAAGCCAGCCACAGAUCCAAGUUAACUGACCAACACCUCAGAUCCAUCCUGAGAAUCACCACAACAAAACUAAAUCCAGACUUUGAUGCGCUGGCUAAAAAGGGAAACCAACAACACUGUUCCCACUGAAAUUAAAAAUAAGUUUCUUUGUUGUGUUAUGUAAAAAAUGCAUUUGAAAAUAUUUUUUUCAAUAAGCCUUACAUGUUACAUGUCAUUUCUGUUAAGUGAUGGACAUGAGUAGUGCGCAGGUGCACGUACGUUCUCAAAAUAAAAAAAUGCUCUCCAGAUCAAAUAACGUGCUCCCCAUACUGGCGCGCUGUCACUGUUCUGUCUUUGUGCUGGUCGUUGUUGAGUUUUGGCACAGGGGACAAUUGAAUAAGAAGGAGCAGGACAAAUAGACCUGCAUCUCCUACCGUUUUUGAAAUAAAGACAGUCAGGAGGAGAGUGAUGAUGAUAAUAUCUUGAAGGAUAACAGAAUUUUCAGUGCUUUAAAAUAAUAACUGUUACUAUUAAAAAAGUUGUAUUUUAUUCAUUUAAUUUUCAGUGUUUUAAAAGUCAUUUCAAUAAAUAACUAAAUACCAUGGGACUUCAAAGACAGAUAUUUUGUUGUAAUGCAUUUGUUCAUUUUCAAUUGAAAUUAAAGCACAUGUUUUCUACAUAUCCCAUGAUAUUUUAUUUUCUCUUAUGAGGUGUAAUACCAAA
Long non-coding RNA from Hypanus sabinus (Atlantic stingray), 1406 nucleotides. RefSeq lists it as uncharacterized. Lineage: Eukaryota; Metazoa; Chordata; Chondrichthyes; Myliobatiformes; Dasyatidae. The record is from RefSeq and is a predicted model, not a curated record. The transcript has 4 exons.